RNAcentral lists this ribosomal RNA (475 nucleotides) under uncultured organism. RNAcentral's name for it is "partial 16S ribosomal RNA". It matches the Rfam family "Bacterial small subunit ribosomal RNA", at positions 332 to 798 of the family's 1533-position model. The record is from RNAcentral.
UACACUCCUGCGGGAGGCAGCAGUGGGGAAUUUUGGACAAUGGGCGAAAGCCUGAUCCAGCAAUGCCGCGUGAGUGAAGAAGGCCUUCGGGUUGUAAAGCUCUUUUGUCAGGGAAGAAACGGUGAAAGCUAAUAUCUUUUGCUAAUGACGGUACCUGAAGAAUAAGCACCGGCUAACUACGUGCCAGCAGCCGCGGUAAUACGUAGGGUGCAAGCGUUAAUCGGAAUUACUGGGCGUAAAGCGUGCGCAGGCGGUUUUGUAAGUCUGAUGUGAAAUCCCCGGGCUCAACCUGGGAAUUGCAUUGGAGACUGCAAGGCUAGAAUCUGGCAGAGGGGGGUAGAAUUCCACGUGUAGCAGUGAAAUGCGUAGAUAUGUGGAGGAACACCGAUGGCGAAGGCAGGCCCCUGGGUCAAGAUUGACGCUCAUGCACGAAAGCGUGGGGAGCAAACAGGAUUAGAUACCCGAGUAGUCCCAU